Molecule: ribosomal RNA, 860 nt
Filed under: Hypoxylon sp.
Lineage: Eukaryota; Fungi; Ascomycota; Sordariomycetes; Xylariales; Hypoxylaceae
Description: partial large subunit ribosomal RNA
Rfam family: Eukaryotic large subunit ribosomal RNA
Source: RNAcentral
GGGAUUGCCCUAGUAACGGCGAGUGAAGCGGCAACAGCUCAAAUUUGAAAUCUGGCCCUAGCGGUCCGAGUUGUAAUUUGUAGAGGAUGCUUUUGGUGAGGUGCCUUCUGAGUUCCCUGGAACGGGACGCCAGAGAGGGUGAGAGCCCCGUACGGUUGGCCACCGAACCUAUAUAUAGCUCCUUCGACGAGUCGAGUAGUUUGGGAAUGCUGCUCUAAAUGGGAGGUAAAUUUCUUCUAAAGCUAAAUACCGGCCAGAGACCGAUAGCGCACAAGUAGAGUGAUCGAAAGAUGAAAAGCACUUUGAAAAGAGGGUUAAAUAGCACGUGAAAUUGUUGAAAGGGAAGCGUUUGCGACCAGACUUUUUCCUGUCGGAUCAUCCGGUGUUCUCACCGGUGCACUUCGGCAGGUUUAGGCCAGCAUCGGUUCUCUUAGGGGGAUAAAGGCCUUGGGAACGUAGCUCUUUAGGGAGUGUUAUAGCCCCUGGCGUAAUACCCUUCGGGGGACCGAGGAUCGCGCUCUGCAAGGAUGCUGGCGUAAUGGUCGUCAACGACCCGUCUUGAAACACGGACCAAGGAGUCGAACAUUUGUGCGAGUGUUUGGGUGUCAAACCCUCACGCGUAAUGAAAGUGAACGGAGGUGAGAGCCUUAGGGCGCAUCAUCGACCGAUCCUGAUGUCUUCGGAUGGAUUUGAGUAAGAGCAUAACUGUUCGGACCCGAAAGAUGGUGAACUAUGCGUGGAUAGGGUGAAGCCAGAGGAAACUCUGGUGGAGGCUCGCAGCGGUUCUGACGUGCAAAUCGAUCGUCAAAUCUGCGCAUGGGGGCGAAAGACUUAUCGAACCAUCUAGUAGCUGGUUACCG